AGCGAACGCUGGCGGCAGGCUUAACACAUGCAAGUCGAACGGGCGUAGCAAUACGUCAGUGGCAGACGGGUGAGUAACGCGUGGGAACGUACCUUUUGGUUCGGAACAACCCAGGGAAACUUGGGCUAAUACCGGAUAAGCCCUUACGGGGAAAGAUUUAUCGCCGAAAGAUCGGCCCGCGUCUGAUUAGCUUGUUGGUGAGGUAACGGCUCACCAAGGCGACGAUCAGUAGCUGGUCUGAGAGGAUGAUCAGCCACAUUGGGACUGAGACACGGCCCAAAC
RNAcentral lists this ribosomal RNA (282 nucleotides) under uncultured bacterium. RNAcentral describes it as "partial 16S ribosomal RNA". It matches the Rfam family "Bacterial small subunit ribosomal RNA", at positions 29 to 336 of the family's 1533-position model. The record is from RNAcentral.